UCACUUGAGAUUUGCACUUGCCUUAAU
Molecule: non-coding RNA, 27 nt
Filed under: Bombyx mori (domestic silkworm)
Lineage: Eukaryota; Metazoa; Arthropoda; Insecta; Lepidoptera; Bombycidae
Source: RNAcentral